GCUCCUGGCUCAGGAUGAACGCUAGCUACAGGCUUAACACAUGCAAGUCGAGGGGCAGCAUGUUGGUUGCUUGCAACCAAUGAUGGCGACCGGCGCACGGGUGAGUAACGCGUAUCCAACCUUCCGCAUACUCGGGAAUAGCCUUUCGAAAGAAAGAUUAAUGCCCGAUGGUUUCCCGAAUCCGCAUGAGAACGGGAAUAAAGAUUCAUCGGUAUGCGAUGGGGAUGCGUCCCAUUAG
RNAcentral lists this ribosomal RNA (238 nucleotides) under uncultured bacterium. RNAcentral's name for it is "partial 16S ribosomal RNA". It matches the Rfam family "Bacterial small subunit ribosomal RNA", at positions 15 to 244 of the family's 1533-position model. The record is from RNAcentral.